UCCCUCAUAGCUCAGUUGGUAGAGAAUCUGCCUGCAAUGCAGGAAACCUGGGUUUGAUCCCUGUGUUGGGA
This 71-nucleotide transfer RNA is filed under the name Ovis aries (sheep). It matches the Rfam family "tRNA". Rfam says of the family: Transfer RNA (tRNA) molecules are approximately 80 nucleotides in length. Their secondary structure includes four short double-helical elements and three loops (D, anti-codon, and T loops). The record is from Rfam by way of RNAcentral. Lineage: Eukaryota; Metazoa; Chordata; Mammalia; Artiodactyla; Bovidae.